This 896-nucleotide long non-coding RNA is filed under the name Sorghum bicolor (sorghum). RNAcentral's name for it is "long non-coding RNA (SBIC_LNC006877)". Lineage: Eukaryota; Viridiplantae; Streptophyta; Magnoliopsida; Poales; Poaceae. The record is from RNAcentral.
CUACACUAAGUUCUGGAGAUUUAUUUUGAAAACUUACAAAUCACAUGAUGAGUUCCUAGCAUACAAAACUACCUACCACAGCCAUACUUGCUAUAACAUCUUUUACUAUAUUCACAUUGAGUUUGAUCGAGCUGUGUAGACCCUUAGGAGCUUUUCAUGUGGUUAAAUUAAGAUAUUCACUUGCACACAUCUACCACAGCAUCCAUCAUCAAUCAUUAAAAUUGCUAAAAAUAUUUUCACUCACUGUCCCGAGUAUUGUUAUUCUCUCUCUCUAAAAAGAUUCAGUGCAGAAGAGGCAUGGGUUAUGCAAAAAUAUGCGAGGAAAUAAAAAGGGGCAAGUGCCCGGAACCUCGAUAAAGAAAGAAAAAGAGUGAGACGAGAGGUAAAAAUGGACAAGUGUCCGAAGUAGAAUUAGGGGUACAAAGAUGCCCACUUGAGCGAAAAAAAUGGACAAGUGUCCGACAGUAGAAUUAGGGGUAUCUACUACCCACCUGAAAAAGAAAGAGAAAAAAAGAAAGAAAAGAUAGCCCAUGUUUCCCAAAAGCAAAGAUCAAAGAAGAGGAGAGAUAGCAAUAUGAGGAGCAAUGAGAACUAAGUUUUAUUAACACUUAUACAUUUUCACCAUCACUAUCAUUUACUCCACCACACAUGCACAUCUUAAUUUAAUUAUAUGCUGAGUUCCUUUGGAUCCAUGGCUCGAUUAGACAAUAUAUGUACGAGCUGUUUUUCACUCCUAUGAGCUCCACUUAAAUAUUCCAUUAGCUAUAGGUAAGUGACAUUAUGGUAAGGAUCCACAAAUACCACAUAUAGAGAGACUUGAGAGAAUCAUUGCUGGGAACUCUGAGUUUUAUUUUGAAAACUUAUAAAAAACUAUAGAACAAAGGUGAAGUAUAGAC